Non-coding RNA from Salmo salar (Atlantic salmon), 72 nucleotides. Lineage: Eukaryota; Metazoa; Chordata; Actinopteri; Salmoniformes; Salmonidae. The record is from Rfam.
UCCCAUGUGGCUCGGUUGGUAGAGCAUGGCGCUUGAAACGUCAUGGUUGUGGGUUCGAUUCCCAUGGGGGAA